AUGGUGGGGGGUGGAAAGCUUUAUUGUGGUUUUGGAUGGACUCGCGGCCUAUCAGCUUGUUGGUGAGGUAAUGGCUUACCAAGGCGACGACGGGUAGCCGGCCUGAGAGGGUGACCGGCCACACUGGGACUGAGACACGGCCCAGACUCCUACGGGAGGCAGCAGUGGGGAAUAUUGCACAAUGGGCGCAAGCCUGAUGCAGCGACGCCGCGUGAGGGAUGACGGCCUUCGGGUUGUAAACCUCUUUCAGUAGGGAAGAAGCGAAAGUGACGGUACCUGCAGAAGAAGCGCCGGCUAACUACGUGCCAGCAGCCGCGGUAAUACGUAGGGCGCAAGCGUUAUCCGGAAUUAUUGGGCGUAAAGAGCUCGUAGGCGGUUUGUCGCGUCUGCCGUGAAAGUCCGGGGCUCAACUCCGGAUCUGCGGUGGGUACGGGCAGACUAGAGUGAUGUAGGGGAGACUGGAAUUCCUGGUGUAGCGGUGAAAUGCGCAGAUAUCAGGAGGAACACCGAUGGCGAAGGCAGGUCUCUGGGCAUUAACUGACGCUGAGGAGCGAAAGCAUGGGGAGCGAACAGGAUUAGAUACCCUGGUAGUCCAUGCCGUAAACGUUGGGCACUAGGUGUGGGGGACAUUCCACGUUUUCCGCGCCGUAGCUAACGCAUUAAGUGCCCCGCCUGGGGAGUACGGCCGCAAGGCUAAAACUCAAAGGAAUUGACGGGGGCCCGCACAAGCGGCGGAGCAUGCGGAUUAAUUCGAUGCAACGCGAAGAACCUUACCAAGGCUUGACAUGAACCGGUAAGACCUGGAAACAGGUCCCCCGCUUGCGGUCGGUUUACAGGUGGUGCAUGGUUGUCGUCAGCUCGUGUCGUGAGAUGUUGGGUUAAGUCCCGCAACGAGCGCAACCCUCGUUCUAUGUUGCCAGCACGUGAUGGUGGGGACUCAUAGGAGACUGCCGGGGUCAACUCGGAGGAAGGUGGGGACGACGUCAAAUCAUCAUGCCCCUUAUGUCUUGGGCUUCACGCAUGCUACAAUGGCCGGUACAAAGGGUUGCGAUACUGUGAGGUGGAGCUAAUCCCAAAAAGCCGGUCUCAGUUCGGAUUGGGGUCUGCAA
This 1109-nucleotide ribosomal RNA is filed under the name Arthrobacter sp. XSW018. Its description in RNAcentral is "bacterial SSU rRNA". It matches the Rfam family "Bacterial small subunit ribosomal RNA", at positions 189 to 1310 of the family's 1533-position model. Lineage: Bacteria; Bacillati; Actinomycetota; Actinomycetes; Micrococcales; Micrococcaceae. The record is from RNAcentral.